RNAcentral lists this ribosomal RNA (382 nucleotides) under uncultured eukaryote. RNAcentral describes it as "partial 18S ribosomal RNA". It matches the Rfam family "Eukaryotic small subunit ribosomal RNA", at positions 592 to 976 of the family's 1831-position model. The record is from RNAcentral.
UGUAAGCGUAUACCAAAGUUGUUGCAGUUAAAACGCUCGUAGUCGGACUUUGGCAGUUCCGGAUGUGUGCACGUCGUGUGCGCACUUCGCGGGGAUUGCUUUUGUGGUCUUGCGUAGGAUGAGGCACUUUUAUUAGUGAACGUCCUCACGCAACCACUUUUUACUGUGAGAAAAUCUGAGUGCUCAAAGCAGGCAUUUGCCGUGAAUGUAUUAGCAUGGAAUAAUAGAAUAGGACUUGGUUCUAUUUUGUUGGUUUGUUGGGACUGAGUAAUGAUUAAGAGGGACAGUUGGGGGCAUUUGUAUUUCGGUGCUAGAGGUGAAAUUCUUAGAUUACCGAAAGACAAACUGCUGCGAAAGCGUCUGCCAAGGAUGUUUUCAUUGA